AGAGUUUGAUCCUGGCUCAGAUUGAACGCUGGCGGCAGGCCUAACACAUGCAAGUCGAGCGGAUGAGUGGAGCUUGCUCCAUGAUUCAGCGGCGGACGGGUGAGUAAUGCCUAGGAAUCUGCCUGGUAGUGGGGGACAACGUUUCGAAAGGAACGCUAAUACCGCAUACGUCCUACGGGAGAAAGCAGGGGACCUUCGGGCCUUGCGCUAUCAGAUGAGCCUAGGUCGGAUUAGCUAGUUGGUGAGGUAACGGCUCACCAAGGCGACGAUCCGUAACUGGUCUGAGAGGAUGAUCAGUCACACUGGAACUGAGACACGGUCCGGACUCCUACGGGAGGCAGCAGUGGGGAAUAUUGGACAAUGGGCGAAAGCCUGAUCCAGCCAUGCCGCGUGUGUGAAGAAGGUCUUCGGAUUGUAAAGCACUUUAAGUUGGGAGGAAGGGCAGUAAGUUAAUACCUUGCUGUUUUGACGUUACCGACAGAAUAAGCACCGGCUAACUUCGUGCCAGCAGCCGCGGUAAUACGAAGGGUGCAAGCGUUAAUCGGAAUUACUGGGCGUAAAGCGCGCGUAGGUGGUUCAGCAAGUUGGAUGUGAAAGCCCCGGGCUCAACCUGGGAACUGCAUCCAAAACUACUGAGCUAGAGUACGGUCGAGGGUGGUGGAAUUUCCUGUGUAGCGGUGAAAUGCGUAGAUAUAGGAAG
This 700-nucleotide ribosomal RNA is filed under the name uncultured bacterium. RNAcentral's name for it is "bacterial SSU rRNA". It matches the Rfam family "Bacterial small subunit ribosomal RNA", at positions 8 to 703 of the family's 1533-position model. The record is from RNAcentral.